Molecule: ribosomal RNA, 253 nt
Filed under: uncultured bacterium
Lineage: Bacteria
Description: partial 16S ribosomal RNA
Rfam family: Bacterial small subunit ribosomal RNA
Source: RNAcentral
UACAGAGGGUGCGAGCGUUAAUCGGAAUUACUGGGCGUAAAGCGCGCGUAGGCGGCUUUGCAAGUCGGGUGUGAAAUCCCCAGGCUUAACCUGGGAACUGCAUUCGAGACUGCAUGGCUAGAGUAUGGGAGAGGGAAGUGGAAUUUCAGGUGUAGCGGUGAAAUGCGUAGAUAUCUGAAGGAACAUCAGUGGCGAAAGCGACUUCCUGGACCAAUACUGACGCUCAUGUGCGAAAGCGUGGGGAGCAAACAGG